UGCUUAACACAUGCAAGUCGGACGGCAGCAUGAUUGGUAGCAAUACUGAUUGAUGGCGAGUGGCGGACGGGUGAGUAAUACAUAGGAACUUGCCUUAUGGAGGGGGAUAGCUCAGGGAAACUUGAGGUAAUACCGCGUAAGACCGGAAGGUGAAAGGGGGCUGUUAAAGGCUCUCGCCAUGAGAUGGGCCUAUGUUGGAUUAGCUAGUAGGUGGGGUAAAGGCUUACCUAGGCGACGAUCCAUAGCUGUUCUGAGAGGAAGGACAGCCACACUGGGACUGAGACACGGCCCAGACUCCUACGGGAGGCAGCAGUGGGGAAUAUUGGACAAUGGGGGCAACCCUGAUCCAGCAAUGCCAUGUGUGCGAAGAAGGCCUUCGGGUUGUAAAGCAC
RNAcentral lists this ribosomal RNA (392 nucleotides) under uncultured organism. RNAcentral's name for it is "bacterial SSU rRNA". It matches the Rfam family "Bacterial small subunit ribosomal RNA", at positions 45 to 433 of the family's 1533-position model. The record is from RNAcentral.